CAAAUGGACUUGAUCUUCUGAUUGAUUCAUGACUGAUUGAUUGACUUCGAUGUGUUUUCUCAGAGCUGCCCACUGCAGAGGAGCUGAUGCGUCCCAUCCGACCAGACAGCAUGGACGACACCAGAGGCUCCACUCUGCAGCCUGCUAGUGGGACCCAGCUCAGCCCAGAGAAGACUGGCCAGUCCUUAAGCCAUAGAUCCCGUGAGUCAAGCCCAAGAUGCUCAGCAGAGCCAGACACUCCUCCGGCCUCCCCAGGCCCCCGUCCCAGAAGCAUCAGAGAGGAGGCAUAGAAGCUGAUGAAGCAGGAUCAGGACAGCUCCUCCCCUGACCUGAUCUCCGCUCAACCCAGCAACAAGAGAAGCCAGCAGGUUCCUGGACGCUCUACGGUAGCUGGUCCCUUCACAUCCUCGUUGAGGAAGCCUUAUGUUGCCCCUGGCAGAGGUAGAGUGGAGAGUAAACCGUCAGCCGUGGCCACCAGGACCUCGGAAGCUAGGAAAUCUGGUCCUACCAAACCUGGGGCUGCAGCCAAGCCCCCCUCUCCUCUAACCCGGAGGAAGCCUCUCAGCCAGACAACAUAACAGAGCCUCAGCCCCCUCCUCUCAGAGAGAGAUACAGUUAGGAGAAGAAGAACUCCUUACACAUUGACAACCAAAGCUAGUAGGUGUAGUGUAAGUGUGCUUAAAAAAAUAUCUGUUGUAUCUAGAGGUCGAC
Molecule: long non-coding RNA, 711 nt
Organism: Salmo trutta (river trout)
Lineage: Eukaryota; Metazoa; Chordata; Actinopteri; Salmoniformes; Salmonidae
Source: Ensembl